GGCGCGGAGAGGAGCGCGGCGCGCAGACAAAACGCCUCUUAAAGGCUCCGCGAGCGGCUGGGGAUGGGAUCGAGGACUUCGCCUCUUGGCAACUUGGCGAGGCCACGAAAGGCGCCGCGCGCGCACCACCCGGGACUCCCGGCGCAUCUGUGCGCCCGCGAUGCCCGAGAGAGAGAGAAAAGUCCCCCGAUUCUUCGCAGAGGGGUAGUGGGUGGGGGUGGGCAGGCGCCGCGUACCCAGCUCGCGGGCAAUUUCCAAACGAAAGAUUUGGCCAAAUCCGGGUGGCGGUGGACCCCUCUCUUAAUCAACUCCGAUCACUUGCUUGGUUUGGUGGCUUUUUUUUUUUUUUAAAGAGGGGAAAAAAGCUCUUUAGAGCCUGUCUUUUCCUUGUAGGGUUAACAUUUCACAGGUAUGUGGCCUGACAUUUUAAUUGCUCAAAUAAAGCAUCUCGGAUGCGGAGAAGCAGAAAUAGACUUCAUCUCAUUGUCAUGACGCAAUUAAAAUAAAUUUCCCUCAACUUUAUCCGCUCUCCUUAGUUCUGACGAACUCGCAAGCCAACAUCCUGCCCCACACCCAGUCAGGGCGAGAGGGGAAAAGACCCAUGUUUGCCCGCUGCUGGGCAAGCAGAGGCGGCCUCCAGCCUCCCGUGUGUGCCCUCUGCACACACAUGUAAGUGUACAUGUAUGAGAUGCACAUUUGUCAAUGUACACAGACAAAGACUUCAGCCACUUGCACUUCUAGGUCGUGGAACAGUGAAGUGCGGAUUUCAUUGUUCCUUAAGUUUCCUUAAAAGCAUUCAUAUAGCCAUUAAAACACACCCAGAGACUCUGCCCCAUAUUGGGGACAAGACCAGUACAACUCAAGAACCACACACCAGCCAUACUCUAUCCCGAGAAAUCAACUGCAAUAAGGCCACCGUCAUAGUCUCUGCCAUUCUGUUCCAUGGGCUAAAAUCAUCCACAGGGCUGUGUCUCUAAAUUCCAGGGCGUUGGGUUUUAAACAUCAAACAUCUAGAAUUGCCCCCCACCUCCCAGAACACACACUAUUCCAACGCACCUCUCUGUGUGAUUAGAAAAAGUUAGUGGAUUAUGGUUACUUCAUAUUAAUGAAAGAAAAUGGUGACUCCGUCAUACACACUUUGCACCAGGAAAAAAGCUGUACAUGGGUCAGCCCACCAGGUUUAUGAACGAUUAGAAUAUUUCACACGAAACUCGCCGAGCUGCCGGAAACGUGGACACACAGAAAUAGUAAGGGACGACCGCCAGAAAGCAUCCUUGAUCAUUAAAAAAAAUUAAAAAGAUGAAGAAUUGUUUAGAAGAAGUCGCCACACAUGAAACUGACAUGUGUAGAUUGCAUUUUGCAUUCCAUACCCUUUGCACACACAGGCAGAAUACAGGGUAGGGACUGAGUGGAGAUGGAGGCAGAUAGGGGCUAGUUUUAAGGGAAGAAAAAAAAAUAUCCUCUUUCCGCUUCAUUUCUGAAACCUCUUAGCUCUCACCCUUUCCCGGCUGAAAUCACACAGUUCACGAAACAGUGAAUGUUCUGGAAGGUGGGGGGCAAUUCUCGCUGUUUGAUGCAGGUGCUGGGAUGACUUGAAAGUUGUAAAAAAACAAACCAAACACAAACCUACAGUGGACAGGGAGCUCUCCUAAACCUGGUGUGUAAUGAGAUUGCCACAGAGCCAAGGCAGGCUGCGAAUUUCAGGUUGAUGACAGGCACAAUGUAACUUUCUCCUGAGGGGGACCAGCAGCAUGGGAGAGGAAUUAUUCCAGGGAAAUAUUUCCCCCCUUUCAACCUCUAGGAUUCGAGAAAUUGCCCAAUGCUGCAAAUGUCAGUGGAUCUGGGGUAAACUCAGUAGAGUUGUGGUGGGACUGGGGUUGACUAGGACAUCUGAUGGGCAUUCCCAUCUCGGUUUAAUAGAUGAUAGAAUCAUUGAUGAUGGGGGAAUCUUAAUCUCGCCUCUUGUACAGACACUUCCACAGCAAGAGCCACCUUUUCCACACAUGCAGGGGGGAAUUCGAGGGGGACGGGCUUCCCCAGUCCAGUUAGAGAAACUGGGUGUUUGAAGUCCAGUUUGAUGGCCUCAGAUUUAAAAUGAAGAUUUCCCCACCGUCCCCAGCAGAACUGGAGCCUGCCAGGCUGAGGACCUCAGGGCUACCAGGAAGUCAGAAGUGUUUUUACUUUGUAUUUUGGGACCCAUUCAUAGUUAUGCAGAUGCUAUUAAAAAGCAAAAAAAAAGUAUUAAUUGCAGUUAAUUUUACCGUAUGAAAGGACUGCAGUCCGAGAAGAAGAGAAAAAGAGAAAUAAUUAAAAAUGUCUUACUUAGAGAUGCUCAUUUCUCUGAAAUACAACAGCUCUAAGACUAACCGCUAAACAUCAAUAUAUUGUGACCGUUGGAAAAAAAUAAAAUAAAGCCAGCCCAGUCUUUUAUUGCAGAUGUAAAUUUAUUUUAAUGAGAGGAAUGGCAAGCUUUCAUUUGGCCGGGAGAAAGUUGGGAAAACAUUUGUCUUCCUCUGGGGAUCCCAAGCCAAGCAACGGGAACCCCAACCCAGGAAUAUGAUUCCAUUACAGAAAGCGGCCUGACCGCAGAUUCGGUCACCAGAUGCAUACAGACCCCAGCAAACGCCGAGUUUAACUCUGAACUCGGCAGAAGCCAGCCCUGUCCACCACGAUGCAUUGAAUUGCUCCUUCCCUUCAAUCUCCUCCUGUGUGUUUUUCCCUUCCACCCCACGGCAGCUCCCUGAAUAGGAGAAAGGGCCUCCAUUGUGCGCCUCUCAACUUCCAAGUCAAUGCAAUUUUUAACCGCUGGCUUGUGGUACUUUGAAAAUCACCAGGGGCUGUCAGAGUUGGGUCUCCCUGAAAAAUUUACAGUGCUCGAUCGGAGCAUAUGCCGGGAGGGGAAAAAAUUGCUGGAGAUUGGAGCAAGUGCAGUAUCUGUCUGCCCCCUAGUGUAAGAGUCCUCGCUGCCUAAAAUCCAACUUUAAGAGAAAAGGGGUUCUUAAAGGGGAACGACUUGAGGCUCGCGGAGGCGCAGGGGGAUGAAACUUCUGGGCAUUUUCAGCGGAAUCAUUGCCCGGGAUUGCAAAUUAAUUGGCUCUGGCUGGGUUGGACCGGACCCUCAUCUCGCCACCUCUUGCGUCUCCCGUGUCACUGGCGGCGAGGUGAUGAUUUCUUUUUCUCCCUCCCCCCUGAACUGGGUUUCUGUGCGUCCCUCUCACCCCCUCCUCUCUUUUCCUUUCUCUGUCUCUGUCGUCUCUCUCGCUGGCUUUUUAAAAAAUGAGGACCCCGUGCCUGGAUCGUGCUGGACACAGCCCAGAACGGCUUCUUAAGUCAGCCCGCCGCGGUGGCCGCACACAGCAGAAAGGCCCACGUUUGCCUGCAACCCGCACACCAGCUGCACCACCCCGCCGGCCGGAUGAUGACAAAAGAAAGUCACAAAAAGAUUACACUGCUCGUUUGAACUUUGACCCAAUCCUGAUGGACUACGGAGCUGACACGCUUAACUUGUAAUUCCUCUGGCUACGUGGUUCACUUGAAGUAAAAAUCAAACAUUAACCGCCUCCACCAAAACCCUAACCCAAACCAACUCUGCACCCACCAACGAAAAUCUGCCAAGUUCUACUUUACGAUCAUCCCAGGGAAGAGUAAGUACGAAAGCAGCAGCAAGAGAAAGUCGCCCGGCUUGAAAAGGCGUGUCGAAGACCAGCUAAUGGAAUGACAGGUGCCGUUUGCCCAGCCAAGUGUCACAGGGCAAUGGGCCCCGAACACCCAGCGUCUCCAUCAGAUGCAGCACGGACACCCUCAUGGUGGGGCCCGCGCCACAGCCAAGGACUCGUCAGUGGGGUUUGCCGUUCAGCUGCUAACCUUCCUUAGAUCCUUCCUCCUUACGUAUGCAUCCUAGAACUUGGAGGCAAAGUUAAACACGUUUCCUUUUGAAAAGACGAAUGUAAUUUCUGGACGCGAUCUAUCUGAGAAUACGAAGCGAAGUGAGCCCGGGAAGUUGCUUCGCAGAGGCAAACCCUUUAAGAGUCCAUGUCACAUUUACUGCCAUAAAAUAUUUUUCUCUCUGUGAGACAUCUGCUUCCCAUUACACGCUGUAUUGGGUACUUGAGUCCACCGGCCAUUCUGCAUACCAAGCAGCGCGUAUGUGAAACCCCACCGCCAGCGCCGGUGUGCGUUCUGACCGGGCAAUUUUACUUGCGUUUAUAAGACAGCCCUUCCGUCAUCAUUUCUUCCCCAUACGCUCUCAGGACUGUUUCGUUUCCAACUUCUCUUAAGGACCAAAUUGCCGACGUCUGAGAAAUGAAGUUCAAAAUGGGGGAGGCUUUGCUUUGCAUUCUCUUAAGAUGCAACUGUCUAUAUAACCCAGCGUCGAAACCAACGGAACGUCUCAGCUCGGAGUCUAUUUCCUAGUCACACUGACCCAGAAAUGAGAAACACAAUCCGGGAUGUUUGCUAAUGAGUCAUGAAUUUCAUGAUAAUUGCUUCCAUAUUCUCAGAGCUUCCCUAAACCGGCUAAUCUUGACAGAUCCCGCAACAAUCCCAUGUGUUGUAAAUGAUUUUGUGUUAUUUCUUAGGUUACUGUUAAAGGCUUAUUUUAUGGUUCAUUUCAUUUUCUUAAAGAAAACCACACACACACACAC
Myotis brandtii (Brandt's bat) is the source of this 4643-nucleotide long non-coding RNA. RefSeq lists it as uncharacterized. The transcript has 4 exons. NCBI's taxonomy places the organism in Eukaryota, Metazoa, Chordata, Mammalia, Chiroptera, Vespertilionidae. The record is from RefSeq and is a predicted model, not a curated record.